GACGAACGCUGGCGGCGUGCUUAACACAUGCAAGUCGAACGGAAAGGCCCCUUUGGGGGUACUCGAGUGGCGAACGGGUGCGUAACACGUGAGUAACCUUCCCUUGACUUCGGGAUAACUUCAGGAAACUGGGGCUAAUACCGGAUAGGAAUCCUUGCUGCAUGGUGGGGGUUGGAAAGCUUCGGCGGUUUUGGAUGGACUCGCGGCUUAUCAGCUUGUUGGUGGGGUAGUGGCUUACCAAGGCUUUGACGGGUAGCCGGCCUGAGAGGGCGACCGGCCACAUUGGGACUGAGAUACGGCACAGACUCCUACGGGAGGCAGCAGUGGGGAAUAUUGCACAAUGGGCGGAAGCCUGAUGCAGCAACGCCGCGGGCGGGAUGACGGCCUUCGGGUUGUAAACCGCUUUCAGCAGGGGCGAAGCUUGUGGUGACGGUACCUGCAGAAGAAGCACCGGCUAACUACGUG
This 465-nucleotide ribosomal RNA is filed under the name uncultured bacterium. RNAcentral describes it as "partial 16S ribosomal RNA". It matches the Rfam family "Bacterial small subunit ribosomal RNA", at positions 28 to 507 of the family's 1533-position model. The record is from RNAcentral.